CAGCGUUAAAGUAUUCUGAGGGUGAGUGUAGAGUCAGAGCCACACAGAGCCCGAACCCUUUCUCCAUCUUCUGUUCCUUCCCUUGCAGUAUUCUGGAUUAACAGAAGAAAAUAGCCACCCGACCUCCAGAUGAUUUUCCACCUGUGCCUGGCAAGACUGGG
Long non-coding RNA from Lemur catta (Ring-tailed lemur), 161 nucleotides. RefSeq lists it as uncharacterized. Lineage: Eukaryota; Metazoa; Chordata; Mammalia; Primates; Lemuridae. The transcript has 2 exons. The record is from RefSeq and is a predicted model, not a curated record.